CCUACGGGAGGCAGCAGUGAGGAAUAUUGGUCAAUGUGCGAGAGCCUGAACCAGCCAAGUCGCGUGCAGGAUGCCGGCCCUACGGGUUGUAAACUUCUUUUGUAAGGGAACAAUUGGGUCCACGCGUGGGCUUAGCGAGAGUACCUGAAGGAAAAGCAUCGGCUAACUCCGUGCCAGCAGCCGCGGUAAUACGGAGGAUGCGAGCGUUUUCCGGAUUUAUUGGGUUGAAUGGGUGCGUAGGCGGAAUAUCAAGUCAGCUGUAAAAAUUCGGGGCUCAACCCCGUCGUGCCGUUGAAACUGAGGUUCGUGAGUGGGCGAGAAGUAUGCGGAAUGCGUGGUGUAGCGGUGAAAUGCAUAGAUAUCACGCAGAACUCCGAUUGCGAAGGCAGCAUACCGGCGCCCAACUGACGCUGAAGCACGAAAGCGUGGGUAUCGAACAGGAUGAGAUACCCUUGUAGUC
Molecule: ribosomal RNA, 460 nt
Filed under: uncultured bacterium
Lineage: Bacteria
Description: partial 16S ribosomal RNA
Rfam family: Bacterial small subunit ribosomal RNA
Source: RNAcentral